Molecule: transfer RNA, 72 nt
Filed under: Camelus bactrianus (Bactrian camel)
Lineage: Eukaryota; Metazoa; Chordata; Mammalia; Artiodactyla; Camelidae
Also listed under: 2 other names
Rfam family: tRNA
About the family: Transfer RNA (tRNA) molecules are approximately 80 nucleotides in length.
Source: Rfam by way of RNAcentral
GUGGUUAUAGCUCAAUGGUAGAGUGUGUGCUUAGCAUGCACGAGGUCCUGGGUUCAAUUCCCAGCAUCUCCA